Molecule: long non-coding RNA, 1688 nt
Filed under: Pongo abelii (Sumatran orangutan)
Lineage: Eukaryota; Metazoa; Chordata; Mammalia; Primates; Hominidae
Description: lincRNA
Source: RNAcentral
GGUGAUAUGGCUUCAGCCUGGUUCUCUUGGGAUGUUCACUCUUAGAAGAAAUUUGAAGAAGCCGAAACAGCCACAUGGAGAAGCCACACACAGAUAUUCUGGCUGGCAGCCCAGCAGAGGUCCCAGCCAACAGCUAACAUCAACGGCCAUGUGAAGAAGUGUGCCUGCAGGGGGUUUCAGACCCCAGCUGCCAAGCUGCCUCCAGCCUCCCGGUCUUCCAAGCUGAGGAAGCGGACAGUGUGGAGCAGAGAUAAGCCACCCUACAGUGCUGUUCUCAGAUCCCUGGCUCGCAGAACCCAAGAGCACUAUAAAACACUUGCUAUUUCUCAUUGCCAAGUUUGGGGUUGCUUGUGGCAUCAGGGACAGGAAAUUCCAAGCUCUCGGACAAUGAGAGCCCACGGAGGAGAGAGAGGUGGCUAAAACAAGAAAAGAUCUGUGGAUGACUGCGUCUCCCGGGCAAAAGACCACUCUGAUAGCUUCCAUGAGAGCUCCCUGGGGCAUCCAUGGAGAAGAUAUUUUUGAGGGAGAAAUCCCCAAUGCUUCUUGAAUCUUGCAGCCCACACAGGGAUUUCCUACAAGCAAACCCAGCCUUGAGCUAUAAAGAUCUGAUCACUUUCCUGGGUGAAGACAGCAGACUGACUCAGUUAUUCUGUGGAUAGGUGACUUGAUCAAUGAGUUGGUGAGAGUUCUAAGAUGUGUCUUUCAGGCACAUCUCAGAUUUGUAAAAUUAUUAUUUAUUUAUUUAAUUAAUUUAUUUUUUUUGAGAUGGAGACUCACUCUGUCACCCAGGCUGGAGUGCAGUGGCACAAUCUUGGCUCACUGCAACCUCCACCUCCCAGGUUCAAAUGAUUCUCCUGUCUCAGCCUCCUGAGUAGCUGGGAUUACAGGCACCUGCCACCAUGCCCGGCUAAUCUUUGUAUUUUUACUAGAGACAGGGUUUCACCAUAUUGGCUGGGCUGGUCUCCAACUCCUGACCUCAGGUGAUCCACCUGCCUCAGCCUCCCAAAUUGCUGGGAUUACAGGCAUGAACCACUGUGCCUGGCCUCAGAUUUGUAAGAUAAUUUAAACAAGACUCAGUGUCUCUGCAUCUCACAUUGGUUGUAUAUUGCAUUAAAAUGGUGAUAAUUCUCCCCUAAUCAAACUGUGCCCAUAUACUGGCAAGGACAUUAAUGUUAUGAAGACAAGAAGUAGCUGAAAAAUAAAGAGACAAUAGCCACGAGACAGACCCAGAGGUCAGGUAGGGCAGGGUUGCCGUGAGGACACGGCUCAUCCCACAGGGCCUGGGAACUUGUGGUCACAGCAGUGCAAGGUCCUGUUCUCUCCUCCACAGGGACAGACAGGCCACCAGCCUGACAGAGACGGCAUUAGGGGGCAGCUGCCAGGAACAAGCAGGGAUUGCACUAGACUUUAUAGCGCCACAGUUCGGAUUUGCUGGAUUUGGAGACAAAAUCCAGGUUUGAAUUGUGAUUCUAUUUCUUACCGCCCCGCGGCCUGGGGCAGCCAGGUCAGCUCUCUGAGCCCCGUGGUCUCCAUUGCUGAAUGAGAAUGCCCACCUCCACUCAGAACCAGCCAGUGUGGUGCCAGCAACCCACCUAACACAGGCAAAGAGGAUUUCUUAAUGAAAACAUUUUGUCUUGCACAAAACAAUACUCAAUUUAAGAAAUAGCAAAUGCAGAAAAGGAAAGAGA